Molecule: ribosomal RNA, 497 nt
Filed under: uncultured bacterium
Lineage: Bacteria
Description: partial 16S ribosomal RNA
Rfam family: Bacterial small subunit ribosomal RNA
Source: RNAcentral
GAUGAACGCUGGCGGCGUGCCUAAUACAUGCAAGUCGAGCGAACAGACGAGGAGCUUGCUCCUCUGACGUUAGCGGCGGACGGGUGAGUAACACGUGGAUAACCUACCUAUAAGACUGGGAUAACUUCGGGAAACCGGAGCUACUACCGGAUAACAUGUUGAACCGCAUGGUUCAACAGUGAAAGACGGUCUUGCUGUCACUUAUAGAUGGAUCCGCGCCGCAUUAGCUAGUUGGUAAGGUAACGGCUUACCAAGGCAACGAUGCGUAGCCGACCUGAGAGGGUGAUCGGCCACACUGGAACUGAGACACGGUCCAGACUCCUACGGGAGGCAGCAGUAGGGAAUCUUCCGCAAUGGGCGAAAGCCUGACGGAGCAACGCCGCGUGAGUGAAGAAGGUCUUCGGAUCGUAAAACUCUGUUAUUAGGGAAGAAAAAAUGUGUAAGUAACUAUGCACGUCUUGACGGUACCUAAUCAGAAAGCCACGGCUAACUACGUG